Oncorhynchus tshawytscha (Chinook salmon) is the source of this 1960-nucleotide long non-coding RNA. NCBI's taxonomy places the organism in Eukaryota, Metazoa, Chordata, Actinopteri, Salmoniformes, Salmonidae. The record is from Ensembl.
GCUACUCCUUCUGGUGCUCUGUAAUUAUAGGCCCCUUUCAUAAGCCUCUUCAGAAACACUGUGGCUUUCUUUCUCUUACUGACCGGGAUUUGCACUCAGAGUGAAGGGUCAAAGGUUGAUCUGAUAGGGAUGUACACGAUGAGCUCUGUCCUACUGGCAACUCGGGUAAGAACAAAUUCUUAUUUAUAAUGAAGGCCUACCAAACACCUCCACGACAAGAGGGACACCACAACACUUCAUAAAGAGAGAACUAAGACAACAACCGCAUGGCAGCAACACAUGACAACAAGGCAUGGUAGCAACACCACAUGACAACAACAUGGUAGCAACAAAACAUGGCAGCAGCACAACGUCACGCCUGCUCCCGCUUCCCCCCUCUGGGGCUCGAGGGUGCCAGACUGCCCUUCAUUACACACACCUGUCACCAUCAUUACACUCAUCAGCGAUCAUUGGACUCACCUGGACUCCUUAACUUUGUUGAUUGCCCAUUUAUAUCUGUUUGUUCCCUGUGUCAACAUUGACGUUGUUACAUUUUGCCCUGUCCAGAUGCUGUCCUUAUUUGUUUCUUGUCUAUUAUCCAUUAAAUGUUCACUCCCUGUACUUGCUUCUCAUCUCCCAGUGUCAGUCCUUACAGAAUGCUGACACCACUAUUUGAAGCAUUGGGGAGUUCUUGUUUUUUGUUUUUGUUGGUGACGUCAGGUCCUGGUGCCACCGCCAAUGGAACCGGGGGUGUCUCAGCUGGCUUAUCUGACUUCCAUGCUGUAGCUGGCUCGAGAGGUUUCCUUGCCUCAGUUGGCUCGGCAGGCUCCCAUCCCACGUCAUGCCUCAGCCGGAUUGUCGGGCUCCCACGCCUCAGCCGGCUCCACGGGCUCCCACGCCUCAGCCGGCUCCACGGGCUCCCACGCCUCAGCCGGCUCCACGGGCUCCCACGCCUCAGCCGGCUCCACGGGCUCCCACGCCUCAGCCGGCUCCACGGGCUCCCACGCCUCAGCCGGCUCCACGGGCUCCCACGCCUCAGCCGGCUCGUCGGGCUUCUAUGCCUCAGCCGGCUAGUCCAAUGCCAUGCCUCAGCCGGCCCAUCAGGCUCGCCCAGGUGGGAUGCAGGGUGGUGCCCCUAGAGGGGGGGGUACUGUCACGCCUGCUCCCGCUUCCCCUCUCUGCCCUUCAUUACGCACGCCUGUCACCAUCAUUACAUGCAUCAGCGCUCAUUGGACUUACCUAGACUCUUUUACUUUGUUGAUUGCCCCUCUAUAUCGGUCUGCUCCUCAGUUUGUUCCCCAUGUCAGCAUUAAUGACGUUUAUUUUUCCCCUGUUCAGACACUGUCCUUGUUUGUUUCUUGUCUAUUAUCCAUUAAAUGUUCACUCCCUGUACUUGCUUCUCAUCUCCCAGUGUUGGUCCUUACACAACAUGGUAGCAGCACGAAACAUGGUACAAACAUCUUGUGACAGGUAUACAGAGAUGACCAGUUUACAAAGGAGUAUCGAGUGCAGUGACGUGUCCUAUAAGGAGCAUUGGUGGAAAAUCUGAUGGCCGAAUGGUAAAGAACAUCCAGCCGCUAUAGAGCACCUUACCUGCCAAUCUUUAAAUCACAUCGCAUGGGUAGGAUGGUCAUCUGAAUCAGUGUUAGUUUGGCAGCUGGGGUGAAUGUGGAGCGAUUACAAUAGAGGAAACCAAGUCUAGAUUUAACCUUAGCGUGCAGCUCAGAUAUGUGCUGAGAGAUAUAGUAUAUCUAGUAGACAAACCAGUUUAAAAUCUAUAGGUUUACCAAACGGUUAAGUGAUUAACCAUUAAGUGCAGUUGGAUUAAGUUAUGGUCAAAUGUAUUUAAACAAAUGAGAAGAGAAUCGUAGGAAAAGUUUUGUGAGCAUUGUAUUGUGAAAGGCAAUUACUUUAUAUGAAAGAUAUUUCUAGAUGAAACACUGGUUAGGUUUGGUGAAAAGUUCCUUUGUGAUUAGGUGUG